RNAcentral lists this ribosomal RNA (502 nucleotides) under Vermamoeba vermiformis. RNAcentral describes it as "SSU rRNA". It matches the Rfam family "Eukaryotic small subunit ribosomal RNA", at positions 1215 to 1719 of the family's 1831-position model. The record is from RNAcentral. Lineage: Eukaryota; Tubulinea; Echinamoebida; Vermamoebidae.
UUACGAGGUCAGGACACUGUGAGGAUUGACAGAUUGAAAGCUCUUUCUUGAUUCAGUGGGUGGUGGUGCAUGGCCGUUCUUAGUUGGUGGAGUGAUUUGUCCGGUUAAUUCCGUUAACGAACGAGACCUUAACCUGCUAAAUAGUCACGCGAACCGGUCCGCAAGGGCUCAAAGUUCGCGGCUCGACUUCUUAGAGGGACUAUUCGCACCCGCCAGCGAAUGGAAGUUUGAGGCAAUAACAGGUCUGUGGUGCCCUUAGAUGUUCUCGGCCGCACGCGCGUUACACUGACGGAGUCAACGAGCGUUUUUCCUUGCCCGACAGGGCUGGGUAACCUCCUGAAACUCCGUCGUGAUGGGGAUAGAUCAUUGCAAUUAUUGAUCUUGAACGAGGAAUUCCUAGUAAGCGCGAGUCAUCAACUCGCGCUGAUUACGUCCCUGCCCUUUGUAUACACCGCCCGUCGCUCCUACCGAUUGAACGGUCCGGCGAGAACUCCGGAUGGUC